RNAcentral lists this ribosomal RNA (432 nucleotides) under uncultured bacterium. Its description in RNAcentral is "partial 16S ribosomal RNA". It matches the Rfam family "Bacterial small subunit ribosomal RNA", at positions 29 to 507 of the family's 1533-position model. The record is from RNAcentral.
ACGAACGCUGGCGGCAUGCCUAACACAUGCAAGUCGAACGAGACCUUCGGGUCUAGUGGCGCACGGGUGCGUCACGCGUGGGAACCUGCCCUUAGGUUCGGAAUAACUCCCCGAAAGGGGUGCUAAUACCGGAUAAUGUCUUCGGACCAAAGAUUUAUCGCCUUUGGAUGGGCCCGCGUUGGAUUAGCUAGUUGGUAGGGUAAAAGCCUACCAAGGCGACGAUCCAUAGCUGGUCUGAGAGGAUGAUCAGCCACACUGGGACUGAGACACGGCCCAGACUACUACGGGAGGCAGCAGUGGGGAAUAUUGGACAAUGGGCGAAAGCCUGAUCCAGCAAUGCCGCGUGAGUGAUGAAGGCCUUAGGGUUGUAAAGCUCUUUUACCCGGGAUGAUAAUGACAGUACCGGGAGAAUAAGCUCCGGCUAACUCCGUG